CCAAGCCCCAUUCCUUUUUUUUUUUUUAAGAGACAGGGUUCUCACUCUGUUGCCCAGGUUGGAGUGCAGUGAUGGGAUCAUUGCUCACUGCAGCCUCCAGCUCCCAGGCUCAACUGGUCCUCCCAUUGCAGCCUUCCCAGUGGCUUGGACUACAGGUGUGAGCCACCAGGCCUGGCUAAUUUUUUUUUUUUUAUAGAGAUGGGGUCUCCCCAUGUUGCCCAGGCCGGUCUCAAACUCAAGCAAUCUUCCCCACUGGGUUCAAGUGAUCCUCCUGCCUUAGCCUCUCAAAAGUGCUAGGAUUAUAGGCAUCAGCCACUAUGCCUGGCCUUUUUUUUCCCCACUCUUGAGACAGAUUAAUAAAUUUCUUAUUUAUUUAUUUGAGGCAGGGGCUUGCUCUGUUGCCUAGGUUGGAGUACAGUGGCAGAAUCAUAACUCACUGUAGCCUCAAACUCCCGGGCUCAAGUGAUCCCCCCGCCUCCGCCCAUCAUCACACCCAGCUCCCGUUCCUUUUCUGGUACUAAUUCACCUGAAAUGUGCCUGAGCCAUUGAUUCUAGGAAAAAUGCCCUUUUAGGUGUUGCUUGCAAAGCCAGGCUCACAUGCUGACUCAGUCACUGCCCAGCAGAUGUUCCCCACAACAUUUCUCAACCCAGAAUUGGGACUGAGGUCUGGCACAGAAUGGGUUAAAAGAUUCCCUUCUGGGCUGGGAGUGGUGGAAACAGAGAGUGAUUGCUGAUGAGUAUGGAGUUUCUUUUUGGGGUGGUAAAACAUUCUGGAAUUAAAUAGAGGUGAUAAUUAUACAACUUUGUGAAUCUAUCAGAAACCACUGAAUUGUACACUUUUAAAGGGUGAAGUUUAUGCUAUAUGAAUUAUAUCUCAAUUAAAUAUAUAUAAUAACAAAGUCUUUAUAGUAAUAUUUUAAAAGCUUAUUGAAUCACAAGCAUUUUUUUAUUUUACUGUAAAAAC
RNAcentral lists this long non-coding RNA (964 nucleotides) under Homo sapiens (human). Its description in RNAcentral is "HSALNT0188727". The record is from RNAcentral. Lineage: Eukaryota; Metazoa; Chordata; Mammalia; Primates; Hominidae.